CCUACGGGUGGCAGCAGUGGGGAAUAUUGCGCAAUGGGCGAAAGCCUGACGCAGCCACGCCGCGUGAGUGAUGAAGGCCUUCGGGUUGUAAAGCUCUGUCGGGAGGGACGAAGGGGAAACCCUGACGGUACCUCGCAAGAAAGCACCGGCUAACUCUGUGCCAGCAGCCGCGGUAAUACAGAGGGUGCAAGCGUUGCUCGGAUUUACUGGGCGUAAAGCGUACGCAGACGGUGAGAAAGGUCGGAUGUGAAAGCCCCGGGCUCAACCCGGGAACUGCAUCCGAAACCAUCUCGCUAGAGUGUGGGAGAGGGAAGUGGAAUUCCUGGUGUAGAGGUGAAAUUCGUAGAUAUCAGGAGGAACACCGGCGGCGAAGGCGGCUUCCUGGCCCAUUACUGACGUUCAGGUACGAAAGCGUGGGUAGCAAACAGGAUUAGAUACCCCAGUAGUC
Molecule: ribosomal RNA, 448 nt
Filed under: uncultured bacterium
Lineage: Bacteria
Description: bacterial SSU rRNA
Rfam family: Bacterial small subunit ribosomal RNA
Source: RNAcentral